GAUGAAGAACGUAGCGAAAUGCGAUAAGUAAUGCGAAUUGCAGAAUUCAGUGAAUCAUCGAAUCUUUGAACGCACAUUGCGCCCUUUGGUAUUCCUUAGGGCAUGCCUGUUCGAGCGUCAUUUGAAACCUCAAGCUCAGCUUGGUGUUGGGUGUCUGUCCCCGCCUCACCGCGGGGACUCGCCUCAAAAUCAUUGGCGGCCGGUACGUUGGCUUCGAGCGCAGCAGAAACGCGAACUCGAGGCCCGGCGGAUCGGCGACCAGAAGUCACUUCUUCACAGUUUGACCUCGGAUCAGGUAGGGAUACCCGCUGAACUUAAGCAUAUCAAUAAGCGGAGGA
This 338-nucleotide unclassified non-coding RNA is filed under the name soil metagenome. Its description in RNAcentral is "partial contains 5.8S ribosomal RNA, internal transcribed spacer 2, and large subunit ribosomal RNA". The stretch from base 1 to 120 matches the Rfam family "5.8S ribosomal RNA", at positions 35 to 154 of the family's 154-position model. The record is from RNAcentral.